This 604-nucleotide ribosomal RNA is filed under the name Kocuria sp. CMT98. RNAcentral describes it as "bacterial SSU rRNA". It matches the Rfam family "Bacterial small subunit ribosomal RNA", at positions 271 to 885 of the family's 1533-position model. The record is from RNAcentral. Lineage: Bacteria; Bacillati; Actinomycetota; Actinomycetes; Micrococcales; Micrococcaceae.
AGGCGACGACGGGUAGCCGGCCUGAGAGGGUGACCGGCCACACUGGGACUGAGACACGGCCCAGACUCCUACGGGAGGCAGCAGUGGGGAAUAUUGCACAAUGGGCGGAAGCCUGAUGCAGCGACGCCGCGUGAGGGAUGACGGCCUUCGGGUUGUAAACCUCUUUCAGUAGGGAAGAAGCGCAAGUGACGGUACCUGCAGAAGAAGCGCCGGCUAACUACGUGCCAGCAGCCGCGGUAAUACGUAGGGCGCAAGCGUUGUCCGGAAUUAUUGGGCGUAAAGAGCUCGUAGGCGGUCUGUCGCGUCUGCUGUGAAAGCCCGGGGCUCAACCCCGGGUCUGCAGUGGGUACGGGCAGACUAGAGUGCAGUAGGGGAGACUGGAAUUCCUGGUGUAGCGGUGAAAUGCGCAGAUAUCAGGAGGAACACCGAUGGCGAAGGCAGGUCUCUGGGCUGUUACUGACGCUGAGGAGCGAAAGCAUGGGGAGCGAACAGGAUUAGAUACCCUGGUAGUCCAUGCCGUAAACGUUGGGCACUAGGUGUGGGGGACAUUCCACGUUCUCCGCGCCGUAGCUAACGCAUUAAGUGCCCCGCCUGGGGAGUACGG